AGAUUGAACGCUGGCGGCAUGCCUUACACAUGCAAGUCGAACGGCAGCACGGGAGCAAUCCUGGUGGCGAGUGGCGAACGGGUGAGUAAUAUAUCGGAACGUGCCCAGUCGUGGGGGAUAACGUAGAGAAUUUACGCUAAUACCGCA
RNAcentral lists this ribosomal RNA (147 nucleotides) under uncultured soil bacterium. RNAcentral's name for it is "partial 16S ribosomal RNA". It matches the Rfam family "Bacterial small subunit ribosomal RNA", at positions 26 to 173 of the family's 1533-position model. The record is from RNAcentral.